UCACAAAUUUUGUUUUUCUUCACAAAGUUUUGUUUAUGUUAAGUCAAUUUAUAUCUUGGUUAAAACAACUUUGUGUAUUUUCCAUUAAGGCAACAGACGAUUUUUUUUGAAGAAUGUAAUUGUUAUCUUCUUUAUAUGUCUUAGUUUUUUCUUCUAUGUGUGUCUUUAAAAUAUCUCAGAAAGUUAAGGUGAUCUUUUGGAAAUAGAUCACUUAUUUUGGCAGAUAUGUAUUCAAUUUUUAGUAAUGUUAUACGUGUAAACAUGUCUGACAUGUGAACCCCCUGUAAACACUUGGGAUACUUAUGAUGUUACACGUUAAGUUUAGUCUCAGCUCCAUGACAUACUCUCCAUGAAACAUGGAUAAUGUAGAUCUCUUCAUGACAAGUAGGGUACACUGUGCUGCACAGAUCUGGCCUUGAUUUACUUUUGAAGAUACUUGAUAUCUUUUUAUAGGGACUGAUUUGGUGUUGAUAUGUUUGAGUUUCCUAUAUAUAUUUUAAUGAGGCAAAUGCAAAUAGUUUCUUGUAUACUUGGAUUCACCCAAAAAACAUGGAAAUGUUCUGCAUAGAAAUAUUAUUGUAGCCAUUCUCAGUUGCUGUAUUGAUAUCAAUGUAUUCAUGUAAAAUAAUUCAAAGUAAAAUUGUCAUGAUUUCUGUGCUUGGUGUCAGGUGUGAAUCCAAACAAAUGCUUCAGAAAUUUAAAUGAACUUUAAGAUAAAUAUACCCAAAUUAUGCUUUUACAUUACAAUUUGUGUGCAUCCACAGUGUUAAGAAAUAUUAAAUAUUAAUAUUAUCAUUGCCAAUUAAGUUUCAUUUCACCAUAAACUAUUCUUUCAAAUAUGGUUUUGUUAUCAAUAUAUUGUACAUAUUAAUAAUAUUUUAAAAUAUAAUAAUCUUAUUAACACAAAUUCUAUUUAAUUUAGAAAAAAUAUAUUCCUAUUUACAGACAUUGUGUAGUAAAUUUUAUGUUUUUAAAAAUCAAUUUGCAAGAAAGACUUUCUUCAGUAGUGUAUAAAACAUACCUAAUUAUACUGCAUUAUAGUGAAAAUGGUUACACAUUUGAGAUGUUUUAUUACCAUAUAUGUAUAUAUAGCUUUAUUUUAUGAAUUUCAUAUGCAAUUUUAUUGUGGGUGAAAAUGUGCAAUAAAUUAGAUGUUGUACAGUAUAUGUUCAUUUAGUAUCUAUCAGAAACAUGGCUAUCGAUUGUGGCUUUGUCAGCUAUCUGAAGGGCGUUCAAAGACAUUCAAACAUUUUAAAAUAAAAUAUUCAUAUAACAGUGAUGUUCAUUUUGUUUUGCUUCUAGGGACUUACAUGUUUGGAAAAUGUUUUUGAAAUCAAGACAAACUGAGUUCGAUUGUUUUGCAAAUAAACAGAUUUGAAUCCUUGACAUUUUUUUUGCAAAUUCUAAUGCAUUUAAUUGAGCUAUUAAGUUUUUUUCGGGUAUUUAAAAGGCUAUGUUGGUAAUAUACACUUUGUGUUUAGGUUUCGAAAAAUGCUCAUAUCUUCUAUGUCGCUUCAGAUAGCAAUUUCAUAUUUGGCAUGCAUGUGUAUAUGUAUAAGGCCUUUCCAUAUGCACACACAUUUUGACCCCUGUGACCUUGACCUUAAGGUCCGCGUUUAGGUUUCGAAAUCUGCGUUUAGGUUUUGAAGAAAGCUCGUAACUUCUAUCAAGCGUUUAUAGGGGGCAUAAGUCAUCCUAUGGUGAAAGCUCUUGUUUGUCAUUAUCAUUGAUGAUUAAAGAUCCAUCAACAUACCUUUUUUUAAAGUGUUAUUUUUCGUAUUUGAAUAUAAUUUAUGCAAUGUAUAAGCUUACCUCUGAAAUGCAGGUUGAGCUUAUGUUUCCAAAUUCUGUCCAUGAUCAAGACUUCAGUCCUUUGUCAAUGUUUCAUUCAAAUCACAUCUUUUGCUAAACUGCUUGGCUGAUUUAGCAAAACAUUAUAAGAAUGAUCUGUUGACGACCUUCUGUCAAAUUUGUUCAAAGCGUUUUGGUCUGUUGCAUGUGGUCUCCAUACAGUUGAAAACAUAUUUUAAACAUGAAAACGUCAAAAAUCUUCACUAAAAUCGGAUGGUUCAGUUGUUUAAUAUUUUGUGUGUAAAAUAAUAUUUGGGUUCUCUAUUAAUUUUGCAUAAAUCAUACCCCUGAUUUGAUGGGUAACAUCUUAUAGUGGUCCUCUACUAAGUUGUUUUCAAAUCAUGCAGUCAGUGGUAAAAACAGUCAAGGCCCUAGAAGUCACAUGAUUUAUAUAUAGACUCAUAUGGUCAAUAACUACUUCCCUUAAACCAAACCAGGGGAUUAAUUUGUGUUGUGUAACAUUGUAUUAGUGGUCCUCUACAAAGGACCACUUAACAUGCCCCUGGCAUCAAAACUGGCCAUGACCCAGGGGUCAAAUGGUUUUUGUAGAACUAUAAAGUGAACAAUUUGUAAAAUUUUCUAAUAAACAACAAGGCAAAAAAGUAAUAUUUAUCAUGUUACAUCAUAUAGUGGGUCUCUACUUAAUGAUGAAACCCCAAAGCAUUCAGUAUGUGACAUCCAGCAUCUGGGUUUAAAACUCGCCAUGCCAUGCUCUUGUUAUUAAUCUUUUACCAACUUGUUUUUGGCUCAUCUAAGCACAAUGUCCUCAUGGUGAGCUUUUGUGAUAGCCAAUUGUCCGUCGUCCGUCUUGCGGCAUAAACAUUUGCCUUGUUAACAUUCUAGAGGCAACAUUUAUAGUCUAAUCUUCAUGAAAUUUGGUCAGAAUUUCUUGAAAAACAUGACCACCAGAGGGCAGGUCAGUUUUCCUUAUAUGGCUUAAGAAAAACCUUGUUAACACUCUAGAGGCCACAUUAUCAUCCAAUCAUCGUUAAAGUCAUUUAUUUUCUGAUUAUCAUCAAACUGGUCAAUGAUAUCUUCAACGAGUUCGAAAAUGAUUCCAGUUACUUGAAAAACAUGUAAGCGAGGAGGUGGGGCAUUUUUUCUUCAGAUCUUCAUGAAACUUGGUCAGAAGAUUUUUCCCAAUGAUAUCUUGGACAAAUUCCAAAAUGAUUGUGGUUGAUUGGAAAACAUGGCUGCCAGGGGCAGGGCAUUUUCCUUAUAUGGCUAUAUUAAAAACUUGUUAACAUUUGUCACAUUUAUUGUCCAAUCUUCAUGAAAGUUUGUCAGAACAUUUGAUUUCUAAUGAUAUCAUAGAUGUGUUUAAAAAUGUGUUCAGUCUGUUGAAAAACAUGGCAGCCAUGGGGUGGGGAAUCUAUUCUUAUAUGGAUAUUGUAAAACCUAAUUGUUAGCACUCUUAAAGUUACAUGUAUAGUUCACUCUUCAUUAAACUUGGUCAAAACAUUAAAACAUUAAAACAAAUUUUGUUCUAAUGAUAUCUUGGGCUUCAUAGAACAGUUCAGCUCCUUUGUAUUUCAGGUGAGCAACUUUGGGCCUUUCAAGGUAACAUAAAUACUCAAUAUUAGCAAAUAUUUUGCAAAAUAUUUCUUAACAUAAAGUAAACCCAUACAAAAACAAUGUUCCUUAUAGCAAUAGACAAACUUUCAACGCUAGAUGUGGUAUUUAAACAUAGAUUUUACAAGAUAAAAAAUGCUUGUUUUCAUUUUUUGUGCAACAAUAUAUUCCAUGUGAAUUUCCCGCCACCAUAUCUGAACAUUUACGAGCAAAUGUGGGAGACUGGCUUCGGGCAGCGUCGGAAGAACGACAUAUUCAUGAGGACUACGUCCUGCGUCCCAAGCUGCAGGAUUGCUCAUAAAUGUUCCAAUAGCAUAACCGGAAAUUCACAUGGAAUAUAUUGUGAUACAAAAAUUAAAAAAGCAUUUUGUAUCGAAUUAAAUCUGUUAACAGACCACAUCUAGCUUUGAAAUUUUGGCUAUUGCUAAAAUGAACAUUGAUUUUUGUAUAUGUUGACUUUAUUUUUCGAAAAAUUGUACGAAAUAUUUAUUGAUUUUGAGUGUUUAUGGGCUUUUAAAGAUUUGCCAUAGAAAGACUUUAAAAGGCUGUAAGAUGCUUUUAAGCAUUUUACUUGUUAUCAUCACUGCAGUUUUCAUCCAUUUAAAUGCAGCUAUUGUCAAACUAAUGGUUCAUAAUGCAGUAUUGGUUAAAAACAGAAGUACAUCUGACAUCAACUUUGAUGCUCUUAUUAUUAUUUUUGAAUUCAAAAUAUAGUCAUCUUAUGUAAUUGGAUGCUGGUCUGUUAGUUUAUAGUUUUUAUUAAGACAAUAAUAAAUGACUGCCUUGGAAUAUAAUAAAUUUGCAUUGUUAAAUAAAUAUUGACUUGCGUUUGUAUUUUUCUUACAUAACAGGUUAGUAUUACACAUUUAUACAUUAUCAAAAUAUCCCUAUUUUUUAAUAUGGAAAGAGUUGGUUAUACCCUCAAAAUAAUACAUCAAUAAAUAUGUUGAUAUCAAUAGUUUUAAUAACCAUUCAAACACGGCCACCUUUUUGCUAACAACAUCUAGAUGUAAAGAUUUGUGCGACUAACAUUUAGAACAGUUUGAAUCAUUAUUUCAGAUUUGUCGUUAAAACGAAUUAUUAUAAAAUAACAAGCUUGCUUCUUGUGUCAAUAAUUUGAGGGCUAUAAUCGUUUUCAGAAAUGUGUCAACAUGUUCUUGUUUUCACUUUGUAGCAUUUAGUUUCUUUUUUUCAUAUCUAAGGCUACACCAUCCACAUUUCUGUUGGAUAUCUAUGGAUUAUGCUGAUGUUGUUUCUGAGAAUGGCAUUUCAAUUAAUAUUUGUCAACUUGCAUUAAGUCAGUCUUAGACAAAAUAAAGAAAUUUGAAAUAUGUUUAUUGUAUUUUUCUUAUAUAUCUUUCCUGACUUGUUCCCUCCAACAUCAACAUGUUACAUAUACAAACUGGGUAUAUUACACAUACUUCACAGUUUUAUUGAAUAUGGCAACAUCAUAAGCAACUAGGCUUUGUUAGAAAAGAUCACUGAUUUAAGAUAAUUUGGAUUUAAUUGUGGGCUUUAUGAAGAUAAAAAGUGACAUUGAAUGUGCGACCUUAGCAAAUACAAAUACUUGUAUAUAUUACAAAAAAUGCAAAUGUAUAAUAUUACAAAGAUCAAUGGGGUGGCAUGAAACUAUCUGACAAAGAUCAAUGGGGUGGCAUGAAACUAUCUGACAAAGAUCAAUGGGGUGGCAUGAAACUAUCUGACAAAGAUCAAUGGGGUGACAUGAAACUAUCUGACAAAGAUCAAUGGGGUGGCAUGAAACUAUCUGACAAAGAUCAAUCGAGUGGCAUGAAACUAUCUGUAAAACAUUAACGCCUGAAUAUUGAAAACAUUUAACAUAGUUUUAUAUAGGUAAUACCUUAUAAAAAAUAUUGCCUAAAACCACAAAGCCAAAUGCUAUCAUAUUUAGCAACAUCUACAGGUGCUUUACAAAGUUUGUUAAAAUUAUGCCACAA
Dreissena polymorpha is the source of this 5378-nucleotide long non-coding RNA. RefSeq lists it as uncharacterized. Lineage: Eukaryota; Metazoa; Mollusca; Bivalvia; Myida; Dreissenidae. The record is from RefSeq and is a predicted model, not a curated record. The transcript has 2 exons.